Long non-coding RNA from Vigna angularis (adzuki bean), 265 nucleotides. RefSeq lists it as uncharacterized. Lineage: Eukaryota; Viridiplantae; Streptophyta; Magnoliopsida; Fabales; Fabaceae. The transcript has 3 exons. The record is from RefSeq and is a predicted model, not a curated record.
UUUGGCUUCCUCUUCUUCAUGCACAAACCCCAUCAGAGGGUCCUUCGCCGUCGCGCAAGGGUUCGCGCAUCCAAUCCAGCUUAGGGUUUUCUUCGCCACGCGAGAGGUGAUUGGGAGAGCUCGAUGAUCUGGUAAAGGGGCUCAUGUUUCUGGAUAUUUGCUUCGUAGAGCUCGAGAUGCGAAGAUGGAGGAACUGAGGGAUCCACUCCCUUUUCAAUCUUCAUAGACUCAAUAAUCAAGGUUCAUUUUCAUUGCAAAUGCACAA